This 355-nucleotide RNase P RNA is filed under the name Oscillospiraceae bacterium. Its description in RNAcentral is "RNase P RNA component class A". It matches the Rfam family "Bacterial RNase P class A". From Rfam's summary of the family: Ribonuclease P (RNase P) is a ubiquitous endoribonuclease, found in archaea, bacteria and eukarya as well as chloroplasts and mitochondria. Its best characterised activity is the generation of mature 5'-ends of tRNAs by cleaving the 5'-leader elements of precursor-tRNAs. Cellular RNase Ps are ribonucleoproteins. The record is from RNAcentral. Lineage: Bacteria; Bacillati; Bacillota; Clostridia; Eubacteriales; Oscillospiraceae.
CGAGUAAGCUAUGCGGUUGAACGCGUCACGCGUAUUGCGCGUCCGCGUUAGGAAAGUCCGGGCAUCACAGAGCAGGGCAGCUGCUAACGGCAGCCGAGGGCGACCUUAGGGAAAGUGCAACAGAGAUAUACCGCCGGUUUUUUCCGGCAAGGGUGGAAAGGCGAGGUAAGAGCUCACCGGAGCGCAGGAGACUGCGCUGCCAUGUAAACCCUGUCCGAUGCAACGUCAUUUUGGAACAAUGCGUUAUUGUCUGCUCGGCAGGCGCAUUGCAACGACGGCUCGAGCGUUUCGGCGACGAUUCGCCCAGAUAGAUUUCCGCACACGACAAAACCCGGCUUAUCGGCUUAGUCGCAGC